CCGACACGGAAACUUGGUCAGGUCUUUGUCUGUAAGUAGUUAUUGUGUAUAUAAAUAUUUUGUUUGUUUCGGAUUAAAAUCUCUGACUCGUUAAUGUUCUUUGUAUUCGCCUUGUUUUGUGGCUGAGCAACACCUGACGACCAACGCCUGUCAGGACAUGUAGUGCUAAAUUUGGCCAAAAGAGGGCGACAUUCGCUACACCUCAGCUGGUUCUGGUAGGCGGUGACGGCGGUGAAGACGGUCUCCACGAAGACGAAGGUGCGGAAUUCCUCGGACUUGAAGUUGAGCAGCGAGGCCGUGUGCUCCUUCUUCUUGAUGAUGUGAACACGAGCGUUAUUUAUCUGCGUGUUCUCUUACCUUCCGGACUUGGUGAUGAUCAUCUCGGUGCCCAGAUCGUGGAACUUGUCCCACAGGUCUUUGGUCUCCAGGCUGCAGGAGAUCUUGGCCAUCUCCUCGCUGGGGACGCCCGGGCUGGUGGGGAUGAGGGGCUCCGUGCACGCCGCGGGCACGCUCCCCGCGAACUCUCCGUGCACGUCCAGCGACGACGGGAGGUCGGCGAGGGGCGGCUGGUUGCAGGAGGACUUCUCCACGAACUGUUCUGAUGGACCCACGCACAACAGAAGGAAGUAUUAGUACCGAGGGGCUUGAUGGUGCUCUCCUCGGCCUCCUUCUCCCGGCUCGGCUUCCCGCUGGACAUGAGCGCGGCGAUGGAGAAGGCGUUGGCCCGGGAGGACAGCUGCGGCUUCGGGGAGGAAGUGUACUCCAUGUCGCUGAAGAACCAGGGAAAAAAAAAAAAAAAAAAAAGUUCUAAAAAAAAAAAAAUAAAUAAAAAUAUUCUCCUACUUUGGCAGAAAAGAUGCCGAUCACCCCCCCACGCCCCCCGUGGAGAGGCGCGCUCCUGCUUGACGUGGAACUUCAGCAAGUCCACAGCGCGUGCAUGGCGGGGGGGAACUCUUCCACGAAACAAGAAGAAGAAGAAGAAGAAGAAAAAGUUCCACGCUGCGUGUCUGAGGUGGCGCGUCUUUAGCCAGCUGGGCUCCAACUUCUCCUGCUUUUGACUGCACUACGUCCGCCAAUCAGCGGACUUGGCUUCCACGUGACGCCGUCCCACCUCAGCAGCCAAUCAAACGCCGCCUUGCUCGGACAUGCGUGA
Entelurus aequoreus (snake pipefish) is the source of this 1153-nucleotide long non-coding RNA. RefSeq lists it as uncharacterized. Lineage: Eukaryota; Metazoa; Chordata; Actinopteri; Syngnathiformes; Syngnathidae. The record is from RefSeq and is a predicted model, not a curated record. The transcript is spliced from 4 exons.